This 497-nucleotide ribosomal RNA is filed under the name uncultured bacterium. RNAcentral describes it as "partial 16S ribosomal RNA". It matches the Rfam family "Bacterial small subunit ribosomal RNA", at positions 28 to 507 of the family's 1533-position model. The record is from RNAcentral.
GAUGAACGCUGGCGGCGUGCCUAAUACAUGCAAGUCGAGCGAACAGACGAGGAGCUUGCUCCUCUGACGUUAGCGGCGGACGGGUGAGUAACACGUGGAUAACCUACCUAUAAGACUGGGAUAACUUCGGGAAACCGGAGCUAAUACCGGAUAAUAUAUUGACCCGCAUGGUUCAAUAGUGAAAGACGGUUUUGCUGUCACUUAUAGAUGGAUCCGCGCCGCAUUAGCUAGUUGGUAAGGUAACGGCUUACCAAGGCAACGAUGCGUAGCCGACCUGAGAGGGUGAUCGGCCACACUGGAACUGAGACACGGUCCAGACUCCUACGGGAGGCAGCAGUAGGGAAUCUUCCGCAAUGGGCGAAAGCCUGACGGAGCAACGCCGCGUGAGUGAUGAAGGUCUUCGGAUCGUAAAACUCUGUUACUAGGGAAGAACAAAUGUGUAAGUAACUAUGCACGUCUUGACGGUACCUAAUCAGAAAGCCACGGCUAACUACGUG